RNAcentral lists this ribosomal RNA (460 nucleotides) under uncultured bacterium. RNAcentral describes it as "partial 16S ribosomal RNA". It matches the Rfam family "Bacterial small subunit ribosomal RNA", at positions 338 to 795 of the family's 1533-position model. The record is from RNAcentral.
CCUACGGGAGGCAGCAGUGAGGAAUAUUGGUCAAUGGUCGGGAGACUGAACCAGCCAAGCCGCGUGAGGGAUGAAGGUACAGAGUAUCGUAAACCUCUUUUGUCAGGGAACAAAGGCGGGGACGUGUCCCCGGAUGAGUGUACCUGAAGAAAAAGCAUCGGCUAACUCCGUGCCAGCAGCCGCGGUAAUACGGAGGGUGCGGGCGUUAUCCGGAUUUAUUGGGUUUAAAGGGUGCGCAGGCGGGUUGUUAAGUCCGCGGUCAAAGGCCGGGGCUCACCCCCCGCCCCGCCGGUGAAACUGGCGGUCUCGAGUUGGAGAGAAGUAGGCGGAAUGCGCGGUGUAGCGGUGAAAUGCAUAGAUAUCGCGAAGAACUCCGAUUGCGAAGGCAGCAUGCCGGCUCCACACUGACGCUGAGGCACGAAAGCGUGGGUAUCGAACAGGAUUAGAUACCCCAGUAGUC